CAGGAGGGGAGGAACAGAACACCGAGGAUGGCAGUUGGUGGACUCUGGUUGAGAGAGAGACUGCUUUGGCUAUAGCAGUCAAGAUACCCAGAGGGUAGCUGUUUGGUAUUUCUGGGGUGGACUCAGAAAAGCCAUUGGUUCCUUCUCUUUGGCUGUCUUGAUAUUUCUUCCUGUUCCUACUGCUGAUGCUAUAGAUAGAUAAAGUGGAUUUCUACUGGUGCUGGUGACAUCUCUCUGAGACUGCUGUCUGGAGCAAAGAUGGACUCUUGGUCCACUGUUCAAGACCCUGUUCCACACAACUGGGAGGAUCAGAAGAAGACUCAUGGCAUCCCCCAGCUCUGAAGGGGGUUUCAGGAAGGAGUUGAGUCAGAUGGUCUCUCAGGACCCUUUUAGGUCUAGAUUCAUGACCCU
This is a long non-coding RNA of Monodelphis domestica (gray short-tailed opossum), 411 nucleotides long. The record is from Ensembl. NCBI's taxonomy places the organism in Eukaryota, Metazoa, Chordata, Mammalia, Didelphimorphia, Didelphidae.